RNAcentral lists this unclassified non-coding RNA (300 nucleotides) under Hevea brasiliensis (rubber tree). The record is from RNAcentral. Lineage: Eukaryota; Viridiplantae; Streptophyta; Magnoliopsida; Malpighiales; Euphorbiaceae.
GAAUAGCUGAGCAGGAUCUUUUUCUUGAUAACCAAGAAAUCAGUCUGGCCCAACCCUUGGAACCAAACACAAUGUCCACUUAAAUAUCAGGCUUAGUUCGCAUGAUGCAAGGCUUGAACUUCCCUCAACCUUUGCCACCUGAGCUAAGCCCUGAGAAGGACUUCGCCAGCUGUUUCUGAUGUACAUCAUUGCUUUGCCUAGGCGAGGGUACAAGAUCCAAGCAAGCAAUUACAGAAGAAUCGACUGGAAAAAGCUUGAGCGAGCAAUGUCAUUCACUCAUUCAAGUCCGAAAUUCUCUAA